UUGUGUCCCUGUAAAAUUCACGUGUUGAAGGCCCAAGCCUCAGUGUGACCGUAUUUGGAGAUGGGCCCUUUAAGGAGGUGGUCAAGGUUAACUGAGGUCAUAAGGGUGGGGCCCUGAUCCAGUAGGACUGGCAUCCUUAUGAGAAGAGGGAGAGAGAAGACCAUGUGAGGACACAGUGGGAAGGCCGCUGUCUGCAAGCCAGGCAGGGAGCUCUCCCCGGAAACGGAACCUGCUGGCACCGUGAUCUUGGCCUCCAGCCUCCAGCACCCCGAGAGAUGAGUGCUAUGAGACGGAGACUGAGGCUCUGGGAGGUGAGGCGACCUGUGCAAGAUCACACAACUCGUCAACACAUCAAAAGGCCACUUCAGUCAACACAGUCAGGAUUCUGACGACCUCCGGCUUUACGUGAUUCAUAUGGAUGGGAUUUUUUUUUUAAUAUGUCGAAGAUUUCUACCAAGUUUGGGCUAAUUCUUCUCCACUUCACUUCGUAACAACAUUCAAGCUACGCUGCACUUGUCUCUGUCCAGCUCCCUACUGCUUCAGCCAGAGGAAACUGAGUCCGAGAGAGACGAUGGAGGGGAGAGCCAGCGCAGCACAGGCUGGGCUGCCCACCCCCUAGAAGGCUAAUCGAGAUGGUAUUUUCUGCUGGAAGCAAGUAAGCAAGUUUCCCACAAACCAAGCCAGCUUCUCCCAGAAGACAGGCGUUCUCGCCGGCUCUGUGCGCUGUCUCAAAGAUCUCGGUCUGCACAAUGGGCGACACUGAGGUGAAGAGACCUAUGCCUCUGAAGCUGGGGGCGUUGGCUUGUAAACCUCCUGGAUCCUGCCUCUGGGGAGAAAAGAGAAUCAACCCAGGAUAUCCUCUGCCCACCUGUGGGGCUCUGCCACCCCACAGGAGGGUUGUGGGUGGGGACCCUCUCAGACGGAGCCUGAUCGGGGCAAAAACUGGAAACAGCCAGAAGUCCUUCAAAGAGUGAACAGUAAACACGCCGGCCUGGGCCUGCCGUGGAACACGUGCCGCAACAAAGAACAAACUCUUGACCCGAGAGACAACCCGGGCUGCUUCAGAGAACGACGCUGAGUGCAAAAAGCCAAUCCCAAAAGCUGCCACACUGUUUGAGCUCACUUACAGGACUCUCCCAUGAUGACAGAAGUAUGGAGAUGGACAACAGACCAGUGGUUGCCAGAGGGUGGCGGGCACAGUGGGAGGGAGGUGGGUGUGGCCACAGGAGAACAGCUGGAGGGAUCCCUGACACGUGGGGACUGUCCAGGGUCUUGACUGUGGCGGUGGAUCCGCAAACCGACAUGGGUGAUAAAGUGCAGAGAACACCAGGGAAUGAGUACAAAUGACACCAGGGACAUCUGAGGGAGAUGGGUGGGUCUCCCUCCCAGGAUCUCUCUGGCUUAUUUCUUAGAACUGCAGGUGAAUCUACAACUAUCUCAAAAUAAAAGAUUUCAC
This 1456-nucleotide long non-coding RNA is filed under the name Equus caballus (horse). RNAcentral's name for it is "lncRNA (ENSECAG00000054117.1)". The record is from RNAcentral. Lineage: Eukaryota; Metazoa; Chordata; Mammalia; Perissodactyla; Equidae.